This 616-nucleotide long non-coding RNA is filed under the name Astyanax mexicanus (Mexican tetra). Its description in RNAcentral is "lncRNA (ENSAMXG00005001190.1)". The record is from RNAcentral. Lineage: Eukaryota; Metazoa; Chordata; Actinopteri; Characiformes; Acestrorhamphidae.
CUCGGUUUCUCCUCCCUCUGCUGGUCCUCUGGCGUCUCCUGAUCCUGAUCCUCCUCACAGAAACUCUCAUCAGACUCCUGAAGAGUUUAACUCUGGACUACCAGCAGAUUUCAGCUCAUUCUUGUCUUUAAAUCUCUAGAAAUGGGCACACGCCCAAUGGUCAGGAGAGAGGGAGAGAGAGAGAGAGAGAGGGGGAUGAUCACGCCUGAGUGGGUUCCUGAGCGAGCGAGGGAUCAGUGAACGAGUGCGGCAGUGAGGGACGGAGUGUGUGAGCACGGCGUGUGGAUGAAGCAGAGCUGAGGGGACUUCACUGGGUCACCACUGGCUCCUCCAGAACACGUAGCCUACAUACACACACACUGUACACACACACACGCACACUCUCGCACGCGCACUCUCGCGCACACGCAGGCACACUCUCGCGCACACGCAGCCAGUGCAGGAGCUUACAGGGGUCUGGUGCUGAAGGCUUUGUGUUGAAUCGCUCCGGGUGCAGUAAGGCGAGCUCACACAGCCAUGGAGGAGAACAUGGAAGAGGGACAGACACAGAAAGAUUCUCAGAAGCUGGUUUUCCCUUUUCAACCAUCCAUAUGAAUCUCAGUCAAGCUCAGAGAGC